UGGGGAAUAUUGCACAAUGGGCGCAAGCCUGAUGCAGCCAUGCCCCGUGUGUGAAUAAGCCCUUCGGGUUGUAAAGCACUUUCAGCGGGGAGGAAGGCGAUAAGGUUAAUAACCUCAUCUAUUGACGUUACCCGCAGAAGAAGCACCGGCUAACUCCGUUCCAGCAGCCGCGGUAAUACGGAGGGUGCAAGCGUUAAUCGGAAUUACUGGGCGUAAAGCGCACGCAGGCGGUCUGUCAAGUCGGAUGUGAAAUCCCCGGGCUCAACCUGGGAACUGCAUUCGAAACUGGCAGGCUAGAGGCUUGUAGAGGGGGGUAGAAAUCCAGGUGUAGCGGUGAAAUGCGUAGAGAUCUGGAGGAAUAACGGAGGCGAAGGCGGCCCCAUGGACAAAGAAUGACGCACAGGUGCGAAAGCGUGGGGAGCAAACAGG
This 429-nucleotide ribosomal RNA is filed under the name Chloroflexota bacterium. Its description in RNAcentral is "Chloroflexi bacterium partial 16S ribosomal RNA". It matches the Rfam family "Bacterial small subunit ribosomal RNA", at positions 355 to 776 of the family's 1533-position model. Lineage: Bacteria; Bacillati; Chloroflexota. The record is from RNAcentral.